RNAcentral lists this ribosomal RNA (354 nucleotides) under Triticum aestivum (bread wheat). RNAcentral describes it as "partial small subunit ribosomal RNA". Lineage: Eukaryota; Viridiplantae; Streptophyta; Magnoliopsida; Poales; Poaceae. The record is from RNAcentral.
AUGGUUGUGCCCCCUCCCUUGCUCAAAUCAAUCGUGGUCACUCCAUCCACGCACAUUCACUCCUCCGGCGCCAUUGAUGAGGAGGGAUGGAUGACCUAUCAAUCCCGCAAGAGCAGGCGCGCAAGCAAAGAUCCGCUGGUCGGCGCGGGGAGCCAGCGCAGGGGCAAAAGGUCCUCCCACGGGCACGAGGCCUUCUUAAGCAGAUUCAAAGGCCUUUGUUUUCAUUGCCUCAGACCCCACCAUCGCCGGAUAGAUUGUAGAGACCCACUGCACUGCAUCAUUUGCAAGAAGGCCGGGCAUUUCGGCAGAGAGUGCAUGCUGAACCCGAAGAAUCGACGGGGGGCGGCACGGUGA